CGACCCUCGAGCCUCCCUGUGGUGGUUCGGUGCUGGGACGCUACAGCGCUAGCAAGCGCUGUAGGUCCCGAAAUACAGUGGCGGCCUCGCCGAGACCCCGAGCGCAGUAAACCGUGCCCUAGCACAGCGCCUCGUUCAGGGUGUCCGGCGGGUGCCCCGGCCGUUAAACCCCCCAAUUUACAA
RNAcentral lists this unclassified non-coding RNA (183 nucleotides) under uncultured Spadicoides. RNAcentral describes it as "sequence contains ITS2". The record is from RNAcentral. Lineage: Eukaryota; Fungi; Ascomycota; Sordariomycetes; Sordariales; Helminthosphaeriaceae.